UUUCCGGUUGAUCCCGCCGGACCUGACUGUUAUCGGAUUGAUACUAAGCCAUGCGAGUCUUUGUAGUAAUACAAGGCAGACGGCUCAGUAACACGUAGUCAACCUACCCUAUGGACGAGAAUAAUCUCGGGAAACUGAGCAUAAUUCUUGAUAGAUCAUAAUGCCUGGAAUGGUUUAUGGUUAAAAUGAUUCGUCGCCAUAGGAUGGGACUGCGGCCUAUCAGCUUGUUGGUGAGGUAAUGGCCCACCAAGGCGAUUACAGGUACGGGCUCUGAGAGGAGAAGCCCGGAGAUGGGUACUGAGACACGGACCCAGGCCCUAUGGGGCGCAGCAGGCGAGAAAACUUUGCAAUGUGCGAAAGCACGACAAGGUUAAUCCGAGUGAUUUCUGCUAAAGAAAUCUUUUACCAGUCGUAAAACCGCUGGUGAAUAAGGGGUGGGCAAGUUCUGGUGUCAGCCGCCGCGGUAAAACCAGCACCUCAAGUGGUCAGGAUGAUUAUUGGGCCUAAAGCAUCCGUAGCCGGCUUUGUAAGUUUUCGGUUAAAUCCAUGCGCUCAACGCAUGGGCUGCCGAAAAUACUGCAUAGCUAGGGAGUGGAAGAGGUAGACGGUACUCACUAGGUA
RNAcentral lists this ribosomal RNA (621 nucleotides) under uncultured archaeon. RNAcentral describes it as "bacterial SSU rRNA". It matches the Rfam family "Archaeal small subunit ribosomal RNA", at positions 1 to 628 of the family's 1478-position model. The record is from RNAcentral.